Salarias fasciatus (jewelled blenny) is the source of this 335-nucleotide long non-coding RNA. RefSeq lists it as uncharacterized. The record is from RefSeq and is a predicted model, not a curated record. The transcript is spliced from 4 exons. Lineage: Eukaryota; Metazoa; Chordata; Actinopteri; Blenniiformes; Blenniidae.
AGUAUAGGCUGUGCUGUCAGCCCUGUGUCAGUCUGAUGAAGAUUGGCAUGCAGGCUUUGGCAGGAAGUCGGGACCUUGCUGUGGGCGAGCUAACUUCUCCAUGUGACGCCGUCCCACGAUGCAACAUGUGUCCCCAGCGCCUGCAGUGACGAUGAUGGCCACCCAGAGCGUUCCUCCUCCAUCGUACCAGGAGAGCCAACAGAUGACGGGCACCACUCAGCAGAACACCAAGACCCCGCAGGUCCACCUCCCAGCAGCCUCUGCGGCGGGGAAACACCUCCGUCAGCGUGCCCCUUGACCCCCAGGCGCAGCUGGAGUCUGACAAGCGGGCCGGU